RNAcentral lists this non-coding RNA (20 nucleotides) under Arabidopsis thaliana (thale cress). The record is from RNAcentral. Lineage: Eukaryota; Viridiplantae; Streptophyta; Magnoliopsida; Brassicales; Brassicaceae.
UGCUCGGGUACAAGAUUUCA